GAACGGAUCCAUAUUGAAACCUAGUGAUGUAUGGAUUAGUGGCGGACGGGUGAGUAACGCGUGGAUAACCUGCCGUAUACAGGGGGAUAACACUUAGAAAUAGGUGCUAAUACCGCAUAAGCGCACGGUUCCGCAUGGAACAGUGUGAAAAACUCCGGUGGUAUACGAUGGAUCCACGUCUGAUUAGCCAGUUGGCGGGGUAACGGCCCACCAAAGCGACGAUCAGUAGCCGGCCUGAGAGGGUGAACGGCCACAUUGGGACUGAGACACGGCCCAAACUCCUACGGGAGGCAGCAGUGGGGAAUAUUGCACAAUGGGGGAAACCCUGAUGCAGCGACGCCGCGUGAGUGAAGAAGUAUUUCGGUACGUAAAGCUCUAUCAGCAGGGAAGAAAAUGACGGUACCUGACUAAGAAGCCCCGGCUAACUACGUGCCAGCAGCCGCGGUAAUACGUAGGGGGCAAGCGUUAUCCGGAUUUACUGGGUGUAAAGGGAGCGUAGACGGCAGCGCAAGUCUGGAGUGAAAUGCCGGGGCCCAACCCCGGAACUGCUUUGGAAACCUGUGCAGCUCGAGUGCAGGAGAGGUCCCCCGAAUUCCNAGAGCAGCGGAGAAANGCGNAGAUCUUUUGAAGAACCCCCNNNNCNNNNNCNNCNNNCNNNNCNNNNNCNNNCNNNNNNGCNCNCAAACNNNGGGGGCCCUUUUAUGUAGNNNCNNNNNNNNNNNNNNCANNNNNNGGGCCCUUUAUUGACUGGGGGGGCCAAGGGCCCUCCGGUGCCGCCGCAAACGCAUUAAGUAAUCCACCUGGGGAGUACGUUCGCAGGAAUGAAAACUCAAAGGAAUUGACGGGGACCCGCACAAGCGGUGGAGCAUGUGGUUUAAUUGGAAGCAACGCGAAGAACCUUACCUGGUCUUGACAUCCCGGUGGCAAGUGAGCAAUGUCACUGUUCCUUCGGGACACCGGAGACAGGUGGUGCAUGGUUGUCGUCAGCUCGUGUCGUGAGAUGUUGGGUUAAGUCCCGCAACGAGCGCAACCCCUAUUUCCAGUAGCCAGCAUAUGAGAUGGGCACUCUGGAGAGACUGCCCGGGAUAACCGGGAGGAAGGCGGGGAUGACGUCAAAUCAUCAUGCCCCUUAUGACCAGGGCUACACACGUGCUACAAUGGCGUAAACAAAGGGAGGCAAAGCGGUGACGCCAAGCAAAUCCCAAAAAUAACGUCCCAGUUCGGAUUGCAGCCUGCAACUCGGCUGCAUGAAGCUGGAAUCGCUAGUAA
This 1269-nucleotide ribosomal RNA is filed under the name uncultured bacterium. RNAcentral's name for it is "partial 16S ribosomal RNA". It matches the Rfam family "Bacterial small subunit ribosomal RNA", at positions 64 to 1341 of the family's 1533-position model. The record is from RNAcentral.